AGUCAUAUACGGCGAAACUGCGAACGGCUCAUUAAAACAGUUAUAAUUUAUUUGAUAAUGUUCUUAUAUGGAUAACCAUUUUGGGAAACUAUGGCUAAUACAUGCACAAAGACCUUCGGGUUGUAUUUAUUAGUUUUGACCAAUCUCUGAUUGUGAUGAGUCAUAAUAACUGAUCGAAGCGCACUUGUGUGCGCUAAAUCUUUCAAGUAUCUGCCCUAUCAGAUUGUUGGUAGUGUAUUGGACUACCAAGUCGAUCACGGGUAACGGAGAAUUAGGGUUCGAUUCCGGAGAGGGAGCCUGAGAAACGGCUACCACAGCUACGGUAGGCAGCAGGUGCGUAAAUUACCCAAUCCAAAAUCUGGAAGGUAGUUACAGGAAAUUUGUUGCAUGGGGUUCUACCCCAGACACAAACGAACACAUGUAAGUAUUGUGUGUUUAAUUGGAGGGCAAGUUUUGGUGCCAGCAGCCGCGGUAAUUCCAACUCCAAGAGUGUAUCUUAAUGUUGCUGCAGUUAAAAAGCUCGUAGUUGAACCUCUGGCUAGUGAGGGCCCGCAUGGGCCGUUCGCUAGUCAUCCGCUCGGAGAAGCAGUAUUUCCUUAACCGGUUUUACUGUAGACCCAGCAUUUUACUUUGAAGAAAUUAGAGUGUUCCUGGCAGGCCUAGCUUGCAUAUAUUAGCAUGGAAUAAUGGAAUAGGACCUUGUCUGUUUUAUUGGUUGACAGAUAGGUAAUGAUUAACAGGGACAGUCGGGGGCAUUCGUACUCAGUGGCUAGAGGUGAAAUUCUUAGAUUCGCUGAAGACGCACUAAUG
This 810-nucleotide ribosomal RNA is filed under the name eukaryotic picoplankton environmental sample. Its description in RNAcentral is "SSU rRNA". It matches the Rfam family "Eukaryotic small subunit ribosomal RNA", at positions 68 to 945 of the family's 1831-position model. The record is from RNAcentral.